This 617-nucleotide long non-coding RNA is filed under the name Panax ginseng (ginseng). RNAcentral's name for it is "long non-coding RNA (PGIN_LNC001978)". The record is from RNAcentral. Lineage: Eukaryota; Viridiplantae; Streptophyta; Magnoliopsida; Apiales; Araliaceae.
GAUAACCUUUACUGCCACCUUUAAACUUGAGAACUUCCUUCAGACAUGGUAAGACCAUCUAACUAGGAACUUGCUUCAUAACAAAAACCUAAAAACCCUAGCUCAUUCGUUGCAACUGCCUGCACUUUUGUAGCACAAGUAGUUCUUUCGGCUAACUUUUGUGUCCAUUUCUGGUUUCAGAUGCAAUGGAGAGAAGCCUCGAGACGCCCUGAGUCCACAUCUCAUAUUCUCUCUUGUUCCUGCACUCAAACUCCACAACACCACGUAUCCUUGUCCUCAGCCCAAAGUAACGACGCUGCUCUCCCCCCUCAAACAAGUGCCUUCCUGGCCAUGCUGGUAUGUUCUUGCACACCUCCACCACCACAUCUGCCACUCACAAUUAUGGAAGAAAAUCAAUUCCAUAAUUUCAAUUAUUUUGGUCUCUAUUUCCAAGUUUAUGAAUGACCUUAAUAUGUUUUCCUAAAUUGAAAUUCACUAGCAUACAACUAUAACUUACUUUUCUUCUUUUUGGUUAUAGUCGAAGCUACAUGUUUACUCUUCAUCUUCAGCAUCACCUGGAAAUUGAACAUAAUAUGGGGAUAUUUUAACUUCCAAGAACAGGAUUCAAGAAGUGUUAU